RNAcentral lists this unclassified non-coding RNA (5148 nucleotides) under Daphnia pulex (common water flea). RNAcentral describes it as "uncharacterized LOC124209658, transcript variant X6". The record is from RNAcentral. Lineage: Eukaryota; Metazoa; Arthropoda; Branchiopoda; Diplostraca; Daphniidae.
UCAGAAAUAGCCUACGGAGAGCGACCGAAAUAGCCUGCAAUCUUCUACGCAGUGAAGCUUUUCGUCUAAUUUGAAUAAUUAAUUCAAAUUAGACAACCCUUUAACGCUCCGUCAGUGCUGUACCGCCUGUAACUACAAAUAGACGACAAACACAGAAAACUGGCGAUAGUCAACUCUUUGGUACCCGCACGAAAAGUUGGUCUGAUUGAACGGUAGAACUAUAGAACCUUAGGCAUAAUGGAUAUUACGUACGAUCCCAGAAUUUUAAUUUGUAUUCUCUUGCUGUUUCCAUUGACCUUUAUUACCAAAAUCACUAGUGAUCCCAUUCGAAUCCAUCACCGUCCAUCCGAAGGAUCAUUAACAUUAUCUACCAAAGUUAUCGACAAUCCUUGGAAAAAGCAACUGGGAAAGAUAUCAACACCUCAUCAAUUAAAAGUGCGGAAAUCAAGUGUAGACAAAAUCUUACCUCCGUUGGAAAGUUCGAUCGUUAUUCCAUCAUCCGAAAGCAAAUUCAAAACUCUACCACAGAAACUGUGGCAGAGUUUAUUUAAGAAUUUACAAGUAGCGACAACUAACACGGAAUGCACCUGCACUGAUCCCAACCCGCAAAAAGAAAUAUUUGGACGCGUUUGCUCUACGACUUGCUUGACAUCGGAGACAUUGUGUUAUGGCCAGACUUGUACCCGAACAACGACAUUUUCGGCUCUUUAUUCUCUCUUUACUGGAUCACAAAUUGUAGAACAAACGACAACAGAUGUUUCAUUUGUAAGUACCAUCCAGAGGGUACAAAUUGAUGAAUUGGAUUGUGAAUUGCUCGAAAGCAAAUGCAUCCUUUCAACCGCAUUAACGCAGGCCAAAGUAACGGGCGCAAUAGGUGCAGGGGCUGCCAUCGCUUUGUCGGUUGGUAUUGCAGUGGACAAGAAAACGAAACCAAAUGAAGAGGAAGAAGAAGAAGAGGAAUAUGAUUAUCCGGAAAUAGAAUAUUCGCAGAAGAUUGGUCGAAAAUCCAGAAAUUAUUUCGAAAAUUUGAAAAGUUCGAUGGUUCCAAUCGACGAGCAAUUCGAUGCGAUGCCACGUGGUUUGUUGGGUCUUGCACUGAGAAGAGUAGCACAACCAGCAGAAGGAACAUGUAGCUGUAGCGUCAGCAUUCCGUUAUUCUUCAUUCAAGAAUGUUCAACGACUUGCCUAUCAUCCAAACGACUUUGCGGCAAUCAUUUUUGCACCCAGACAUCCGUUUUCAAUGCCUUUUUGUAUCCAACCGGAAGCAAUAGCGAACUAACAACACAAACAUUUCUGUCCGUCAAUAACAAAGAUUGUGAGAAGCUGAGAGCCGAUUGCAUCGCAUCGUCUGCCAUCGGCGCAGUGGCCAAGAUUGGCGCUGCAACUGGACUGGCCGCUGCGGCUUUAUCGUCUGGAAUGGGAGCAGCCGCUAAACUUUUCAUAACCGCAAGUAAUAAAAGUAACGGAACAGCGAAGGAAAAUGAACGUUUGCAUUUUAAUUAUACCAGACGCACAGUAAAGAAAUUAAAGUAUUUUGAUUCUCUGCUGAAUUCAAAUUCUUUGUUUGAUGAAAUUGGACCAUUUUUAGAAAGUUCAAUCGUCGAAGAAAAGAAUUUGAAAAAGUUCUCCAUAAUUGAUCUGUUUGGUCUAUUCGGUGGUCAACAAGGGGUUACAAGUGUGACAACUAAAUGUACUUGCGAUGAUCCAAGUCCAUCAGCGGGGACGAUAGGACGAGCUUGUAGCACAACUUGCAGAAACAUCGAGACGUUGUGUUCCGGCUCUCGAUCCUGUUACCGGACCACCACUUUCAUGGCUGUUUAUUCGCUUUUUACUGGUUCAAAGUUCGAUUUUCUACUUGGUUCAUCAUAUUCUAUAAUCGAUUCAACCAACAAAAAGUAUUCUACCAUUUUAAAAAGGACAUACUCACAAAUUGACGAAGAAAGAUGUGAAAUACUCGAAAGCCAAUGCAAUGCAGUUGAUACUUUGGCCAAGGCAAGACAACCGGCGGCAGAUGUGGCUGCCUUGUCGGUCGGAUUGGCCGCUGGAGCUGUUGGAAUUGCCAUAAUUAAGGCUAAACAUAGCCAAACUGUGGACAAUGCAACAUACGAAGAAUAUGGCGAUUACCCCUACGUACGAAGUCUUUAUGCCAGACGAAAACGAAGCAAGAGAAUGUCAUUUACUCAAGAAAGAAAUCAGAGUGAAAUUGAAACAAAAUUGAGCGACGUUCCGACAAUUGAAUUCGACCAACACCCUUCGAAUGGCCCACCUAGCAUUGAAAGUUCGAUGGAAGAAAUAUUCAAUGUCCCGACAUUUUUAAAAUUAUCCGGGAGACAAGCGGCUGUAUGCGCGUGUAAUAUUUUAGGGGUUUUUUCCGACUCUUGUUUAACAACCUGCUUGGCAUCUGAGCAAUCGUGUGCUCUUGGUGGUUGCAGUUGUACUCGAACUUCCGUUUACGAGGCUAGCAAAUAUUUAACAGGUUCAACAACAUCCUAUGAUUUUUUUGCAAAUGCAUAUAUAACUAUAGGGGUUUAUGGCACUUAUUCAUUUCUGUCUGUCGAUAACAAAGAUUGCGAAAAGUUACUAGUCGAUUGCAGCAUCGCCUCGUCGACUAUUUUGGCGGCGGGAAGAGUUGCCGCAAUCGCCGUUGGAGUUGGCGGAGGUUUAGCGGCCGGAAUUGCAGUCGCAGCUGUGGUCGUUGCCAGCAACAACCAGACAAAUAACAUCAACAACAAUACUGAAAAACAACAAUCGGCCCAAAACUCUAAUCAGACCCCCGCAAAUAAUUUACCGAUUCCAGUUGUCGGAUUAAGUUUUCCGGAUGACGGAAGUGGUGACAGUUCCAUUCGAUUUCCUGACGGAAGUAGUCAUCCUAUUUUCAGCAGAGGACCUUGUAAUCAAACUCAUUGGGUUACAGUCAACCCCAUUUCAUUACAGGGUGGAUGCACUUUGCGUCUCUGUGAGGAGGAACGAGUUUUCGUUGGCCGGACUGGCCUCUGCCAUGACGUCAACGAUCCACUUGAAUGUCAAGGAGGCCGACGUCUUUAUUACACGGCCUAUGGAGAUCCAAUAUGCGAUUGUCCCAUCGGACAAUAUCCGUUUCCAGACAGCACCAAAGACGAUUGCGUUUCAUUAUUCUCUCGAGGUUCCUGCCCAAAUCGCCAAGUGUUGGUUAUAACUGAGGACGGUCGACUGAAUUGCGAACCCCUCGAAUGUCAGUUGAUUAAUGGAGGAGAUGACGGACGAUUCCAGCAAUUAGUUCCGGAUGAGAAAGGAACUUGUUUCGCUCUGGGUUCACGCGGACCUUGUUCAUCCACUCAAUUGUUGGGUUACGACAUAUUCAAACGGCGAUUGCAGUGUGUUGUCGAUCCCUUCUCUCCCGAAUCUUCUCCAUCUCAACAAAACGAACUGGUCGAUGUUGCAGAAAACAAGGAAUUGUUUUCACAGGAUUACAUCAGUGAGCGGAUUAAUUGGAUCGAGUAUUUAAUCACCCUCAGUUUAAUGCAAAGAAGCAAAUUAAUGGAGCCAAUUGAGAGACAAGACACUGCAGGAAUUCUUCAAUUACCCAGUUCAUCACCCGAUUCUCUUCUUCAACCGUGUCGAUCUGGAGCUCGGAGUGACAAUAAUUUCAAAUGCGCCAAUCCUUUAGUGUCUGAUUCCGGUUCUGGAGGGUCUCUUCCUCCGUUGCCUCCAUUAGUCACUUGUCCGGCUGACAGUUUCUUGACAGCAUCGGGUUCGUGCGUUGAUGACAGACGAGCGGCGAAAUGCGGACCUUCGACUCGUUUUAACGAAGCAACUGGGCAAUGUCGAUCUUUAUUUUAGUCGGUUUUAUUAUUUAUUCUGAUUCGUACUCACGGAGGUGGUGGGAGUUAAUUUAUUUUUAUAUUCUCUGAUGAGGAUUGUUUAAUUGGAUGAACGGAAUGUGUUGAUUACUCGGUUGUGGUGUCCCUGGAUCCUUUUUCACACAAUCAACAAAUCAUGGAAAUAAAAGGAUGAGAAAUCAAACUUUCAUUUCCAUUCUUCAUUUUUAUUUAUCAAGAAAUUUAAACUAAUUUAAUUUGUUUAAAGUUUCCUCUGGCACAACGUAAAUCGCCAACUGGUAGCCCACAUUUGUAAAAGAUGUCGUGACGUAAUACUGGCGAAUGAAGGGUAUCCUAAAAUUGGGGGUAGGGGGGAGGAAAUAAUCCAAAAUGGCUGCCGUUUCUUUUCCUUUCGUCUUUGUCAGUAGUCGUCUGUCGUGUGGACUCCGAGCAAAAUUCGGAAAAUUCAAGUGGUUUUCGAUACAAAGCUUCAAAUACUUUUCGAUCUGUUGAAGGUCAAAUCGUGGAAAUCCAUUCUAUUCUACAAUUUUUUCUGAUAAAAUUUGAUGUACAUCCGAUACAGAUUCAACACGUGUGUUGAAUCUUGAAAGAUCCAAAGAUAGUACUUGUUUCCAGUGAAGAAGAGAAGCCGACCCAAAACUUACUAGUACUACAACCUAUGUCCAACUCUGAUCCCAAACUAUUUCUGUCGACUCAAACAGCUGGUAGCUGCCAUCAUGUAGUGUUGUUUCUAUCUGAUUCAAGUAUUGUUAUUAUACACUUCAAAUCUGGACUUUGGAAGACGCUUGGCAUGGUCCUAAAUUUUUCACUGGAUCAAAAUUGGAUAAGGAAAGUUUUCGACAUGUGAACAUCACUUCCCUCAGACACGAUUUUCUAACGGAAACAUUUCGUUUCUAGAGUCGCCUGCUAAUGCAAAAUGCGGAACUAUUGUACGAGAAGGAACUAAACGACUCCACAACGAACGAGUUGAACAAACUUACGUGCACAGCAACUGAAUGGACCUAGUUCGUUUUCAUUAGAUCAGCGUAUAGCAGUGGGCAAAAGUAAAGUAAGUGGUCUUAUUCAUUUCUCGUAAAUGACGGCGGAUGCCUAAGAAAGCGGCCGACCCUGGCGGUGCAGUUGCAAGGAAUUUAAUUUUCUCGUUUUAAUUGGGGCAGCUAUAAAUUUACGAUGCCACAUUUUUUCCAACUCCCUAUUCCUUUGAAACUCUAUUCGAGAUUUAUGGGCCGUCUUCUUCCGGUUUUACUCGUAACUUCUCAACGUAAAAAUGGUCUAGGUCUAUUUUUAGCCAACGUGAUAUUUUGAUAUUCUUUCAAAGAAAAUAGGACAU